RNAcentral lists this long non-coding RNA (808 nucleotides) under Astyanax mexicanus (Mexican tetra). Its description in RNAcentral is "lncRNA (ENSAMXG00005014390.1)". Lineage: Eukaryota; Metazoa; Chordata; Actinopteri; Characiformes; Acestrorhamphidae. The record is from RNAcentral.
GCUUCCGGUUUUAAUAAUUAUUUUUUACACUUUUUAAUUGGGUCUGCGGGUCGAAUAAUCGCGGUUCUGGUCUCUGGAGUAAAACAGGGUUACUGUAAUGGAGAGGCUGGUAAGGACAGGAGCUGUGCUGCUUGUCGGCUUUCUGCUCUCAGAAAGCUCGCCACAGUCUCUCAUAUCCACAGCUCUCCCCCUCAGAAGCUCUCUGUGUUUCUCAGAAACUCCAGUUAAUUGUUAACCGCCCGGAGAAACUAGUUUUUUGGGUCUCCAGAGGAAACAAACAAUAAACAGGGGCUGGAGGAGGCCGAGGAAGAAUAGUGGGAUUAGAGGAGGAAAAGGCCGGGAGGUAACAAAGACCUUCAGGAGUAGUAAGUGCAGGUAGGAAGGAGAAGUUCCUUCACUUUUUUAUAGGCAAUUGUAAGAGCUUUGUUUGAAUGUAAAAAUGAGCAGCAACCGGUAGCCAAUGGAGCUCAAUAAGCAGUGGAGUGACAUGUGCCCGUUUUGGCUGGUUGAAGACCAGGUGCUGGAACAUCUGAAAUGUUUUUCUACACAGGCCUGUUAGCAUUGCAUUGCAGAAGUCAAGGCAUGAGAUGACCACUGCUUGUACCAAGAGUAGGGUGUCCUGUUGCGAUAGAAAUGGUUGAAUGUCUGAUGUUGCAAAGCGAGUGCAAAGUGGCAAGACCGAGCAACUGAGACAACAUGAUGUUUAAAGGAUAGUUGGUAAUCAACCAUAACACCUAGGUUCAUAGCAACCUGUGAAAUUUUGUUGAAAUUGUGUUGAAUCAGCCCUAAAACCUAAUCUUUAACCCUA